This 473-nucleotide ribosomal RNA is filed under the name uncultured bacterium. RNAcentral's name for it is "bacterial SSU rRNA". It matches the Rfam family "Bacterial small subunit ribosomal RNA", at positions 8 to 526 of the family's 1533-position model. The record is from RNAcentral.
AGGGUUCGAUUCUGGCUCAGAACGUACGCUGGCGGCACGCCUUAUACAUGCAAGUCGAACGAAGUAGCAAUACUUAGUGGCAGACGGGUGAGUAACAUGUAGGUAUCUACCCUUUGGUGAGGAAUAACACGAGGAAACUUGUGCUAAUACCUCAUAAGUCUUUACGGAGAAAGCUUUAUGCGCCGAAGGAUGAGCCUGCACUUGAUUAGUUUGUUGGUGGGGUAAUGGCCUACCAAGACUUUGAUCUAUAGCUGAUCUGAGAGGAUGAUCAGCCACAUUGGGACUGAGACACGGCCCAAACUCCUACGGGAGGCAGCAGUAGGGAAUAUUGCACAAUGGAGGAAACUCUGAUGCAGCGAUGCCGCGUGAGUGAAGAAGGCCUUUGGGUUGUAAAGCUCUUUCGUCGGGGAAGAAAAUGACUGUACCCGAAUAAGAAGGUCCGGCUAACUUCGUGCCAGCCGCCGCGGUAAUAC